This is a long non-coding RNA of Pollicipes pollicipes, 299 nucleotides long. RefSeq lists it as uncharacterized. The record is from RefSeq and is a predicted model, not a curated record. The transcript is spliced from 3 exons. Lineage: Eukaryota; Metazoa; Arthropoda; Thecostraca; Pollicipedomorpha; Pollicipedidae.
CGUCAGCCAGAGCGCGGCAGAAGCGACGCGCGAUGUCGAGAUCGCGCUGAACCGUACCCUGCGUCAGCUGUUCUCACAGCCGCGCCACCAUCGCCGCACGCCGCACGAGCUUGCUGCAGAUCUUCAGGUUCCCCACGGACGAGGCGCUGGACCAAGCGCGCGCUGGCGAGAUCUUCGAGCGCGCCCUGGAGCUGGUCAAGCGGCUGGUGGAGUCCGGAUCCCGUUUCAACCUCACGACAUACUCUUACUCGGACCUGCUGUCGCCGGGCCAGAUGGAGCGGCUGCGCGACCUCUCCGGC